This 253-nucleotide ribosomal RNA is filed under the name uncultured bacterium. RNAcentral's name for it is "partial 16S ribosomal RNA". It matches the Rfam family "Bacterial small subunit ribosomal RNA", at positions 524 to 776 of the family's 1533-position model. The record is from RNAcentral.
UACGUAGGGACCGAGCGUUGUCCGGAAUCAUUGGGCGUAAAGAGCGUGUAGGCGGCCACUUAAGUCCUGCGUGAAAUCUUGCGGCUCAACCGCAAGCGGUCGUGGGAAACUGGGUGGCUAGAGUGCGGGAGAGGAGAGUGGAAUUCCUGGUGUAGCGGUGGAAUGCGCAGAUAUCAGGAGGAACACCGGUGGCGAAGGCGGGUCUCUGGGCCGAUACUGACGCUGAGGAGCGAAAGCGUGGGGAGCGAACAGG